This is a non-coding RNA of Petromyzon marinus (sea lamprey), 1505 nucleotides long. NCBI's taxonomy places the organism in Eukaryota, Metazoa, Chordata, Hyperoartia, Petromyzontiformes, Petromyzontidae. The record is from RefSeq and is a predicted model, not a curated record.
UACCAGUGGAGACUAGACUCUAAGAAAAGCCGUCUUGGGUGUGGACCAAUCAAAUUCAAGGACGGUACAUAACAUCAGAGUUGUCUUUAUUGUUUGCAUUUUGACUGCUUGUAUUGUGGUUAGUGCAAACAUGAUUGCUUGUAUAAAGGUAUCAGUUUUUGUGCCAGAUAAAAGGGUAAAAGAUCGCAAGCAUUCACUGUUCUAAUAAUUGCAUUUAUAUGGUGCUUGCUUAAUCGCCUCGGCAAUUCAGAGUUUUGUAUCGUAUCUCGUCUCAAACACUCGAAGAGCAUCCCCAAGUAGCAGCUGCCUCUGUGUGGCACAAGGUGGUGGCCCUGCACCGUCCUGCAUGUGGACAAGAGCCUGUCAGCAGGGGGCGAUGAUUGAUGUGUUAUCUCAGCUAUGUCAUUUUUAGGUAAUGUUUAGAACUUGCUAAAUUUUGACCGAGAUGCCAGCAUGCAAUGGCCUACUCGUUUUGAAUGACGCAAUAAUAUAUUGUACGUACACUGUUAAGCAGAUGGUGCAUACUUUUUAAAAAAUAGCUUGUUAAAUUAGGAGUGGAUUCCUGCAGUCACGAAGGCUUCAAAUCAAGAUUGAACUGCCUCUACGGGGAGGGUUUCCACACAUCUGUUAGAGCUGUUAACAUACUGUGAAACAAGAAGGCUCACAUGAUCGAGUCUCUGACCUUUCUGAAGAGAUGCCACGACAACAAGCAAGCAUCUUCCUCUGGAGAAACUCAUUGUCUUUGAAAUGGGGAGCACACUCUGAUAAUUCAGUUACAAGGCAUACCACUUAAAAGUUACAUAUAGGAGAUACAUUCUCUACAACACGAAUUAUAAUUCUGUAUUAUGCGUUGAUGUAGAUUUUGUCGAACGAGGACUAGAAAUGUUCCUUGCUGAUUAACGUCUGGAUGUCCGUAACCAUGGGUUGAAGCAAGCCCGACUGCUGUUGAGACGCUGUCCACCAAUAAGGGUCCACAGGUGGCUUGCACUGAAUCAAUGAUGCACUCCCAGAAGGCUGUGUUAGUUAUAGUUUGUGUAAAACAUUCCUUUGUUUCGUGGAGAGAUCGAUAAAUGAAAGAUGUCAUGUCUGCUGAUCUGCUUCAUAGCAGGGAGGUAAUUUUAAGAGUGCAUUUGAAAUGCAUUUUUUUACAGAUUUGUAUUCAGUGACAAGGCAGAGCACAUCUAGUAGAUACAUUCUCCACAACAACACUAACAAUUUUGCGUGACGUCUUAUAUGUUGGCAAACUAGGACAGGAAAUGGUCCUUGCUGAUUAACUUCUGGAUGUUCACAACCAUGGGUUGAAGCAAGCUGGACCCCCUGCGGCGACACGAAUAACCAUUUACGGCCUUGGGCCAGGAAAGUCAUGAAAAAAAUUGCACACGAACGACGCAUUCACGCAAGCACCCUAUGUUCCGUUUUAAAGUUUUAAAAUGAAACAACUGUGAAUAGUAUUGUUUCCAAUUAGAUAAUUGUAUUUCUUCAUUAAAAGCUUAUAAUUUUACAUC